Molecule: ribosomal RNA, 465 nt
Filed under: uncultured bacterium
Lineage: Bacteria
Description: partial 16S ribosomal RNA
Rfam family: Bacterial small subunit ribosomal RNA
Source: RNAcentral
CCUACGGGAGGCAGCAGUAGGGAAUCUUCCACAAUGGGCGAAAGCCUGAUGGAGCAACGCCGCGUGGGUGAAGAAGGUCUUCUGAUCGUAAAACCCUGUUGUUAGAGAAGAAAGUGCGUGAGAGUAACUGUUCACGUUUCGACGGUAUCUAACCAGAAAGCCACGGCUAACUACGUGCCAGCAGCCGCGGUAAUACGUAGGUGGCAAGCGUUAUCCGGAUUUAUUGGGCGUAAAGGGAACGCAGGCGGUCUUUUAAGUCUGAUGUGAAAGCCUUCGGCUUAACCGGAGUAGUGCAUUGGAAACUGGGAGACGUGAGUGCAGAAGAGGAGAGUGGAACUCGAUGUGUAGCGGUGAAAUGCGUAGAUAUAUGGAAGAACACCAGUGGCGAAAGCGGCUCUCUGGUCUGUAACUGACGCUGAGGUUCGAAAGCGUGGGUAGCAAACAGGAUUAGAUACCCUGGUAGUC